AGUUAGGAAACAAGGCGUUGCAAUUCUUGGUUCUUCAUCUACAGAUUGUUUUCUCCACUCCAACUGUUUUUAACCAUGUGUGCCAUCCUUUGGACAUGCUUUAAAUAAGUGAAAUUAUCAACGCACAUUUGCCACUUUUCAUUAGCUUUCUUUACCAUUAUGGAGUUUGCUAGACUCAAGAUGUAUGAUCUCAUGGAUUAUCUUGAGGACAUGUGUAGUGACUACCGGCCUUCUAUUGAAGAUUUGAUAUUUCACGCAGACUAUAUGUUUUUCAGACUUAACACUACUCUUUUCUCUACGGACACACUAACGCAAUGUGGAAAUACACAUUUUGUUGUUCCACCUUGCUAAAUAUCCACUCAAACAAGUGAUUAUUAACUACAAUUUUUGUGGAAGGCUUCACACAUGGCCUCUCAAAAUAAGCGCCUUAUCUGUCUCGCAUAAGCGAAACUCAAGUUAUUGCUAUAGGUACGUUUGUAUGUUGUA
RNAcentral lists this long non-coding RNA (486 nucleotides) under Oryza brachyantha (malo sina). RNAcentral describes it as "long non-coding RNA (OBRA_LNC001043)". Lineage: Eukaryota; Viridiplantae; Streptophyta; Magnoliopsida; Poales; Poaceae. The record is from RNAcentral.